GACAGAGAGACCCUUGGUAUUGUUCUCCUUCCUCAAUACUAAGGGUCUCUCUGAUGU
RNAcentral lists this microRNA precursor (57 nucleotides) under Canis lupus familiaris (dog). RNAcentral's name for it is "Cfa-Novel-22_pre stem-loop". Lineage: Eukaryota; Metazoa; Chordata; Mammalia; Carnivora; Canidae. The record is from RNAcentral.